AAAAAACAGGCAAAUGUAAUAUUAUGAAAUACGCACCUCUUUGGUAUGUUGUCUGUGCAGUUAUAUUGUUCUUUGUUCCUUUGUAAGUAUGGAGAAGUUGAAAUUAUUUCACAGCAUGAUGGCAAAAAGUCUUAAUACCAGACCUUGGGACUCUUAUUGCUAUGACUCUGUAGGAUUUUCUUGAUUACAAAAGACAGAGAAGAAACAAAGUCUUGAAGCUGCCUGUAUAAAGCUGCCUAAAUCCUGUCAGUGAUUGCUAUGGAGCAGCAACAUGAAGCAGAAAAAGCAGAACACUUCCUGGCAUCACAGAGAUGUGGAUAAAUAUGCAGGAUAUUCGCUGAAUGCAGCGGCAACAUGGGUUGUAUUUUGUUGGUUUAUAUGAAAUGAAUAAUUACUCAGAGAAAAACAGAUAGUUUUACUUCAGGAAACAGCAGUUUAUAAUUCUUCACCUUCCAAAUAGGAACAAGUGAACCCAGCACAUAUCUGGUUAUAUUCCAAUGCGCUUUUGUUUGCCUUGGCAUUUGCUUCACUUUUACUUAAAUUAGUCCAAGUUGCUUGGGUGGUGUUAAUCAUUCUGUUGUUUGUCUACAUGUUCAGUAUCCUUAAAGCUUGUAGUAGUAAUGGGCUGAUGUUUUUUUUUUCAAGUAGACUGGUUCACUUUCCUCAGUAUCGGUGCAAACUACAGAAAAUCAAUGGUGGCAAGUUAUUAAUUUUCAGUUUUCAUUGUGAAUUGAAUAACAUUAUGGUGUUUAGAUGAAUAAUACACUAUGUCUAAUGGUGCCUGGUAUUAUAAAUUAUACUUUGAAUAUAAUCUUCCCUUUGAAAGCUAAGAAAUUUUGCCCUGGCAUAUGCUCUUGAUCUGUUUAAGUCUCACACAUAAAAAAAGAAAUCACAUGUACCUGAGGAGGAUUCUGACAUUAUUUUUCUCUGAAUAAAGUUUGUAGAAUCAAUUGUGUAACAGAAUAAAAUAUUUUUUUUUCUAAAAAAUGCAGUGUUAAAAUAGGCAUAAAAUCUAUUUGUAAAACAACACAAAAAUAUUUUUAGUACUAUUUUGUCUUUAAAAUGUUCUAGUUAGCAAUAGAAAUAAUAUGUAUUAGAUAAAUACUGUCAACAUUAUUAAUGCCAAAUCCUAGAUCCAUUGUAAGGAAAGAAGAAUGCUGUCAUCACUAUCUGCAAGACUCAGUUGUAACUUUGGAUUACACAGUGUUGAAGAAGGGGAGCUAGUGUAGAUGCACCAAUAAAGAGAAGUUGAAAAUCCACAGUCAAUGUAUAACUCAUCAUAAAAAUGCCCAGGGAGAUUUCUCUAAUAAAAAGGAGCAGGAACAUGAGCGGCAACAGAAGAACCUGGCUGCACUGCAUCUUGCAGCAGCUUGGACAGUCUCUUCAGAAGGUGCUGCAUAUCUGUCUUUUACCAAGAUGAAGGCAUGGAUUCAGAGCAGUCACCUUAUGCCAGGCAAAGCACUGAGGAGACAGCUGACUAUCUCCAAUGACAAGUACAUAAUUAAAAGAUUACAGAUUGCCUCAAUGUGAUCUUGCGGAAGAUCAACAACCAAAGCUGAUUCUCUAAACGGUGUGAUUGUCCCUUCGUUAAACUAAAGCUGUGUGACUUGACAUGGGUAACUUUGACACAGAAUUACAUAAUUUGAAUAAAAGUAACCUUUUAGUUCAUUAUGAAACCUGAUGGAGAUACUUGGCAUCUUUCAUGUUCCUUUGAACUCCUUUUUAGUUCCUUGCUAUCCUAAUGGCUGCUAGACUUUACAGUUAACAGUUCAAAGCCUGAUUUAUGUUACCAAUUAAAAAAUACCUAAAAGCCAUUGAAAACAAGAAUUGUGGGCACAAAAGUAUGCAGUCCAGGUCUGUCCACCAGGUUUACCAAGCCUUUUACUGGAUCUGGGUGCUGAAUUUUGACUCACAAAGGUUUCAGAUCUUGGUGACUGACAGAAAAGAGAAGAUCAAAAAAUCACUGGUGUAGUUUUAUUAUUGUGCAGAGUAGUUUGACUCUUCAGUCUCUCGUCUGAUAUCUAAACAAGAUAGUAUGUGUAAUUGAUAAAUAUGGCAGCGAGAGCUGGGAAGAGAACAAAUAGUGCUUUCCAGUUACAGCAUCAUGGGUUAACAUGUGAUGUGAAUGUGUAACUUGACCGUGGAGAUUACAGAAACAAAGGACACUGUGACCAGCACUAAUAGUGAGCUGAUUUUACAUUGGGAAUGCCCGCACUGUGCAGUGGUUGGGGGCUGGCAAUUUUGGAGCUAGGAGGAACAUUUUAUGCUUCA
This is a long non-coding RNA of Pezoporus flaviventris, 2271 nucleotides long. RefSeq lists it as uncharacterized. The transcript has 5 exons. Lineage: Eukaryota; Metazoa; Chordata; Aves; Psittaciformes; Psittacidae. The record is from RefSeq and is a predicted model, not a curated record.